UACGUAGGUGGCAAGCGUUGUCCGGAAUUAUUGGGCGUAAAGCGCGCGCAGGCGGUCCUUUAAGUCUGAUGUGAAAGCCCACGGCUCAACCGUGGAGGGUCAUUGGAAACUGGGGGACUUGAGUACAGAAGAGGAAAGCGGAAUUCCACGUGUAGCGGUGAAAUGCGUAGAGAUGUGGAGGAACACCAGUGGCGAAGGCGGCUCACUGGACCGGAACUGACGCUGAGGCGCGAAAGCGUGGGGAGCAAACAGG
RNAcentral lists this ribosomal RNA (253 nucleotides) under uncultured bacterium. RNAcentral's name for it is "partial 16S ribosomal RNA". It matches the Rfam family "Bacterial small subunit ribosomal RNA", at positions 524 to 776 of the family's 1533-position model. The record is from RNAcentral.